GGGAGGGUCUGGGCACCUGGAGGAAAAACCAGGGUGAUGCUCUGUGACCCGCCGUCACCUCGGGGAAGCCGGGGAAACGGGAGGGCCACUCCUUCUAACUCCUCGAUUCCCCGCGGUGUGUUUCUACAGACUCGGUGGCGGAGAGCACCGACUGCCGCCAGGAUGAGGAGGCUGCAGAUUGUUGCUUUGGGAGCAAAGGAUCUUGCUUCAAAAGUCUGAGGACAAGUUUGUCCUCUGCGAGCUUGGCUAGAAUAAUUCCCCGGUGGCCACACAACAGGGUGCACGUUGCCACUGAGGCAGAUGAAGCAAUGCACGACGAUGUCGUGGAGGCCGGUGGGAGUGAGAAGACCGAGGAGGAGGCCCGGGCUGGGGAAGAUGAGGACGAGGCGGCCCCAGUACCUGAGGUGGAGGAGGAGGAGGAGGCGGGCCGGCCCCGUGGAAAUGGCCAGCAGGAGUCCCCAGCCAUCGCCUGGGCUG
This is a long non-coding RNA of Phacochoerus africanus (Common warthog), 477 nucleotides long. RefSeq lists it as uncharacterized. The record is from RefSeq and is a predicted model, not a curated record. The transcript is spliced from 3 exons. NCBI's taxonomy places the organism in Eukaryota, Metazoa, Chordata, Mammalia, Artiodactyla, Suidae.